This 37-nucleotide ribosomal RNA is filed under the name Aspergillus flavus. Its description in RNAcentral is "partial 28S ribosomal RNA". RNAcentral also lists the same sequence under 105 other names. Lineage: Eukaryota; Fungi; Ascomycota; Eurotiomycetes; Eurotiales; Aspergillaceae. The record is from RNAcentral.
UGACCUCGGAUCAGGUAGGGAUACCCGCUGAACUUAA